GAUGAACGCUAGCGGGAGGCUUAAUACAUGCAAGUCGAACGGUAACAUUGGAGCUUGCUCCAGAUGACGAGUGGCGCACGGGUGAGUAACGCGUACACGACCUACCUCAAAGGAGGGGGAUAGCCUCGGGGAACUGAGAAUAACUACCCCAUGUGGUUAACUUUACUAAAACGGUUAAUUAAAGGUUUCGGCCGCUUUGAGAUGGGUGUGCGUACUAUUAGAUAGUUGGUGAGGUAACGGCUCACCAAGUCGACGAUAGUUAGGGGGCGUGAGAGCGUGAUCCCCCACACGGGUACUGAGACACGGACCCG
This 311-nucleotide ribosomal RNA is filed under the name uncultured bacterium. RNAcentral's name for it is "bacterial SSU rRNA". It matches the Rfam family "Bacterial small subunit ribosomal RNA", at positions 28 to 334 of the family's 1533-position model. The record is from RNAcentral.